Molecule: long non-coding RNA, 2132 nt
Organism: Columba livia (rock pigeon)
Lineage: Eukaryota; Metazoa; Chordata; Aves; Columbiformes; Columbidae
Exons: 3
Source: RefSeq, a predicted model, not a curated record
AGCUGUGGUAACUGAAGGGAUCUAGGAAUGAUGAACCAGAGACCACAUUUUCUACUGAUCCGAAAAGCCAGAGAUUUGACUGCCUAGGGAUUUUUAUUUCCCAUCUGACUGGCAGAUGUGCUUGGCCAUCUUGAUCCAGUGCAUAGGAUGACACAGCUGAAAGGAGGCUGGGGGACUGCAGAGACAGAGCCAUUGUGUCUAAUCCCGUGCCUCAAAGCCCUGGAAGAUCCACUCAGCUGCAGAUUCCACCACAUGCUAUCCUCACUUGUUAUAUCUCCUCUUCAACUUCCAAUCUGAUUCAACAGGACAAGGACCUGCUGUGUUUGGAUAGUGUGUAGCAAUUCAGCUUCCUACAGUUUAAGGCCAUCAGGUGUUAUUACAUAAAACAAAGAAUAAUAAUCCUAUUUCUCAUAUUUAUAGUGUCUGUUAUUAACCUAAGCUAUUCCUAUCCCUCCUUGAUGUUUACAGUAUCUAACAUGGAUUUAUAGACAUUUGUCCCAACUAUAAAUACUAUUUUUUGUACUUAAAAAAUCUAUCCCAGUGAUGUUCCUUGUAGGGCAAUGUCUUCAGUUCUCCAUUUGUCAGACUUUUUAAUGAUAGAACUGUCAUGAAAGCAGCUCCAAGAAGCAUGGUUAUUGUGUAUGGAAAAGAAAUAAACCUUGUCAUAACUGUGUCAUUAGAGAAAUAUAAUGGCCACGUAAUAAUUUUCCAAAAUGUAUGUGAUUUCUUUUGGCUCCCCUGGGAUAUCAGGUCUAAUUCUUUAUGCACACAGAAAGGCUGAUCAUGUCUGAAUUUAAAUUACAUAAAUAACCCUAAUUUCCUGAUAAACAAAGGAGAAAAACAUUAGCUCACAGAUUUUUAGGCUCUUAGACUGUUUGGGUUGGAUGAUUUUCUGGACAUUCCUAAACUGACCACAGAGAGCUAUCGGUUUUGUAUAUAUAGAGUGAGUAAUGAGACCUUAAAUAACUUUAAUAUACAAGUUGUUCCUAAUUAGAACUGAUCAUAAUUUCUGAUUCUUGAAUGUUGAAAACAGGACUAGGACAAGAUAGUCAAGAGGAAGUAUGAACAAGAGAUUUAUAUGGUAAAUAUUAUGCUAUGCCGGUACAGGUGUUGGCAGGUGUGUAAGAUACGGGGUCAAGGCCCUGAAUGGUGCAUUGCAUAAAAACUAGUCACAAUCUGGCCUGCUAGAAACAGGCUUGAAUUAAAACCUUCAGUAUGAAGAAUCGGUGAAUUAAAAUAUCCAGUAAUGUGACUUCUUCCAUUGGUAAAUAUUUUUGCUCCAUCAAUUUCAGCCCACAAAAUCUUCCAGGACCUUAUGAGAAUUUGCUAGGACAAAAAUGGCCCCAACUCAUCAGAAGAACAGCAAUUAACAGUCUGUUUGAUACCCUAUACCAAAGGCUCCAGGAGAAUCUAUCCUGCAGUUGACCCUGUGAUGUCAGCAGCCAUUCCAUGUGUUCAGGGCUGCUCAGCUCUAACACUCAUUUGAUCACAAGCCAGGCCUGCUGAUUACUGAAUGUCAAGGAAAACAAGAAAAACCGAGUAGAUAACACAUCAUUGUGCAGAGGAAGGAUUGUUGCUGAGAGAGUUCAAAAAGAAUAUUUUGGAUGUGAGUCAAGAAAAAGUUGAGAUUAUUUGAAAAAGAGUAUAAGGUGAAAGGAUAUGCCAGUGAAAAGGUCAAAAAGGAAGUUUAAGGAAAAAACAACUUGUCUUAGAUAUUUGAGAACCUUGAAUUAACAUACUAAGGCUUGAUAUUGUUGCAAAGAACCAGCAGCUUUCUCAAUCAAAUCCUAUUAGGCUAUUGUGUUUACACAAGGUACGACUAACAAAUUCUGAAGUCCUUGCUCAUAUACAGCAGGUCUUGAAGAAAACCCGUGCUGGAUCCUACAAUGCGGUUCUUACUGAACUGCAUCAGAAGAGUAAGAUAGGUGUAACUAGAUACCAAAUGUAAUAUUUGAAACUUCUUAGACUCUCACAUAAACUGUUAUUUACAUUUAAAUAAAUAACAGUUUGCGUUAGUUAUGCAGUUCCCUAAAAGAAAAAAACAAACUACGGGGCAAGAUGACCGGUUAAGAAAGGACACAAUUUUGAAAUAAAAUUAUGCUUGCAUUAGUCCUUUUACAGCUCUUCAAAGU